AGCGGCAGACGGGUGAGUAACGCGUGGGAAUCUACCCAGAUCUACGGAACAACUCAGGGAAACUUGUGCUAAUACCGUAUACGCCCUUAGGGGGAAAGAUUUAUCGGAGAAAGAUCGGUCCGCGUUAGAUUAGUUUGUUGGUGGGGUAAUGGCCUACCAAGACUACGAUCUAUAGCUGAUUUGAGAGGAUGAUCAGCCACACUGGAACUGAGACACGGUCCAGACUCCUACGGGAGGCAGCAGUGGGGAAUAUUGGACAAUGGGGGAAACCCUGAUCCAGCCAUGCCGCGUGAAUGAUGAAGGCCUUAGGGUUGUAAAAUUCUUUCACCGGGGAAGAUAAUGACGUUACUCGCAGAAGAAGCCCCGGCUAACUUCGUGCCAGCAGCCGCGGUAAUACGAAGGGAGCUAGCGUUGUUCGGAAUCACUGGGCGUAAAGCGCACGUAGGCGGAUUGAUAAGUAAGGGGUGAAAUCCCAGGGCUCAACCCUGGAACUGCCUUUGAUACUGUCAAUCUAGAGACCGGGAGAGGUGAGUGGAACUCCGAGUGUAGAGGUGAAAUUCGUAGAUAUUCGGAAGAACACCAGUGGCGAAG
This 591-nucleotide ribosomal RNA is filed under the name uncultured bacterium. RNAcentral describes it as "bacterial SSU rRNA". It matches the Rfam family "Bacterial small subunit ribosomal RNA", at positions 94 to 720 of the family's 1533-position model. The record is from RNAcentral.